This 1895-nucleotide long non-coding RNA is filed under the name Vulpes vulpes (red fox). RNAcentral describes it as "lncRNA (ENSVVUG00000020833.1)". Lineage: Eukaryota; Metazoa; Chordata; Mammalia; Carnivora; Canidae. The record is from RNAcentral.
CUUAGACUGCCUGACCUACUACCCAGGAAACAGGGUUUCUUCUACCUUCUUUUACUACGAGGUAAGCCAGUGUCUGCCAGGCACUGUCACCAGGUCUGCCGGUGGCUGCUCAGUUGUCCGUCUAGUUAACCCGAGGGAUUUCCACUGCCAGUCUCAGCCCACUGGGGGCCUGGCCAGUCUCAGAACAUGGGGAUGGAGGAAGUGAAGGCGGAAGGUGACACUCCUACCAUCAGAGCUCAGAUACUGUUUCUUCCUUUUGACUUGCAUUAUUUUAUUUAAUCCUGAUACUCUUUGUGGGCAAUGUUUUCCCAUUCAUUAUAGCUACAUUGAGCCUCAUGUUACAUAACUUGUCCAUGGUCACAUGGUCAUGAGAUAUCAGAUCCAAACUUCAAACUCAGACCUAUAUCCCAUACCAGCUGUAGAACUUUGUAGAAGCUAGGUAAUGGUGGUAGCAACAAGCACAAUAAUAACUAAAAUUUGUUGAAAAUUUUCUUCAUUCCACAGGUAUUUAUUUAGUGUGUAACAUGUGCUGGGUACUCUUCUGAACAUUUGCCACGUUCUAACUCAUAGAAUCCGCACCAAUGCUAUCUCCCGGACAGGACUACUGGCAUCCUCAUCUUAAAGAUGUGGAAACAGAAACAAGAGUUCGAGAAACAUGUCUGAGGUCAGAAAGUUGUCAUCCCUGCCCUGUGUCUCUUCAGGCACAUCUCUUCAAAGUCUCCCAUCCUUGCAAAUUAACUUCCUUGAAAAUAAAGAGAAACACUGGAUGGGCCAAACAUUAAGAACAAACCAAAGAACCCAUGCUGAGACCUCUCACAUUGACAUAAGACGGAUAUUGGAAGGUGGUUAUAGAAAUGAAUCUCCACUUCCCAUCUGUUGCAGACAUACCAUAUAGCAACCGUGGAAUCAUAGUAACAGUGGAAUCAUACAGCAACAGUGGAAUCAUAUAGCAACAGCAGAACCUUACAGCAACCCUGAAACUCUAUAGCAACAGCAGAAUCCAAGUCAAAGCUCACUACCAUGGUCCACAGUUGUGUGUAUGUGUGAAUAAUGACAAUGGUUUUGGUAUCAUUUAGUAUCAGUGGUGAUUUAGUAUAAAGGAUGAAAUCUGGUAUUUCAAUGAUUGGUAAAUGCUCAAUGUUGCAUGGAUUAUCAUUUAUAAGUUUUGGAGCUCAGGGAAAAGACUCUGAUCAUGAUCUGUCAACAAGAGUAACCACCACCACCACAAAAGUGAAUAACAUCUUAUUUUCAACCAGUAACUGAUUGGAAACACCAUCUUACCUGAUAUUUUUACCAUGAGAAUUAAGAAUUUAAAGAAUACUGUGUCUUUGCCAUGUUCAACCUCACCUGAAAGCCCUGAGUUGACAUUUUUUUCUUAAUGACAUAAUAUUGUGUUCAUAUGUGUGUGUGUUUCCUUGGAAAGCAUACACUCCCACCCCUUACCGAAGCCAUGCUACAUCUGACCUCUUAGUCACUUUAAUUAUUAACGGCACACCUGGGAGGAGGGGUGGCACCACAGACCACUUGUUCUCAGCCUUUACUGCCUUAAGACUCCUCCUGGGGAGUUUAGAAAUGCCAAUGCCUUGGCUGAACCCCAUUAAAUCAGACCCUCUGGGGUGAGCCCCCCAGAGUUGUCAAAGAGCCCCAGAUUAUACCACCAUGUAGCCAAGUUGGAGAAGCAGUAGCUUGGAGCUUUUGUCCUGUUUUGUGCCCAUUUGUCCUCACUAAUCAGAGAGAAUGUUUUGUUUUCUCUUGUUUGCCGUGACAACGAAAAUUAUUACCUACAUUAAGAAAAGGUGUUAUUUCUGGAGACAGAGAUGGGAGGACAGGACAAAGUGGAAGGCUGUGGUUUAACUGAUUCCAUUUGGGCACCAACCUCAGGGUAGCAGCCCUGA